Non-coding RNA from Sesamum indicum (sesame), 277 nucleotides. The record is from RefSeq and is a predicted model, not a curated record. Lineage: Eukaryota; Viridiplantae; Streptophyta; Magnoliopsida; Lamiales; Pedaliaceae.
GUGACCAGGAGAGAAAAGCGUACGCCAAGAUGUUCCAAUAGUAAUUGAGUCAACUGGUUCAGGCUUUUUUCGUCGUGCUCAAAUCACCUGAAGGGGUUUAAGGUAUUGAACUCCUUAUAAAAUGAUCAGCUUGGUUGCAGAAGAAACUGGCAGCAGAUAGUAGAUACCUGGAAAGUCUUUUACUGCGUCUGGUUUGAGAAGAGAAACUUUGACAAAAUCAAGACCAUUUCUAGGUAAGAGUUAUGCCUGGGCCAUUUCAGAAGAGAACCUAGUCGGC